CGGAAGGGGCGAGCGUUGUUCGGAAUCAUUGGGCGUAAAGGGCGCGUAGGUGGUUCUGUAUGUCUACUGUGAAAGCGUACGGCUCAACCGUAUUUUGUCGGUAGAAACUGCAGGACUUGAGGCUGGGAGGGGCUGGUGGAAUUCCCUGUGUAGCGGUGAAAUGCGUAGAGAUGGGGGAGAACACUCGUGGCGAAGGCGGCCAGCUAGACCAGUUCUGACACUGAGGCGCGACAGCGUGGGGAGCAAACAGGAUUAGAUACCCUGGUAGUCCACGCUGUAAACGAUGGGCACUAGGUGCCGGCGGUCUUGAUCCCGUCGGUGCCGGCGCUAACGCAGUAAGUGCCCCGCCUGGGGAGUACGGUCGCAGGGCUG
This 372-nucleotide ribosomal RNA is filed under the name uncultured organism. Its description in RNAcentral is "bacterial SSU rRNA". It matches the Rfam family "Bacterial small subunit ribosomal RNA", at positions 526 to 896 of the family's 1533-position model. The record is from RNAcentral.